CAAAGAUUACCUUUCAUUCAAGGGAGGCUAUUUUUGGUGUGAGUUUCCAGUGUAGUAGGCUCAAGGAUUGUUUACUCUCUUCUAGUGGUUUGUGCCCAGUGAGAACUUCGGUGAUGUCUGUGGGUUUCAUUUCCUAGAAGGAACACCCCUAAGGAAUUCUGCCUAGUCCCACGUAGAUUUUUUUUUUCUUGAACUAUUUAAUCAUCCCAGUCAAUUUGUAAUUUGGGGAAAAAUAAAGGAAUUUGAGCUAUUAUUCAGAAUUGUGUUGCUUAAUUUUUGGUUUGCUGGUAAUUUAAAUGGUGAUUUAGAUAAACAGAAUUCCAUGAUGAAACUUAUCCAGAGGACAGGGAAAUAAUGAUUAUAGCUAACAUCUGUGGAUCACUUAACAAGUAGCAAGCUUGUUCUGUACUUCCCCACUAAAUUCUCAUGACAACCCUAUGACUUGGAGACCCAACUUUUCUCUGGUUACAGUGCCCUUAGGAUCUCAGGAAAUUUUCCCUGUGGCCCCAGGUCAAAAGAAAUACCAGUUUUCAGUAGUUAGGUCCAACCAACCCAAGAGUUGCAGUAUUGCAAUAGACAUCAUGAUUAUGUCAAAGCUUCAUGCAGUAUCUGAUAGACAUCUCCAUGUUUCCUCCUGGAGAUUUAAAAUGUGCAUUGGUGCCCUUGUGAGUUUGUUGUGGCAUCUUGGGGUGCCUUGGCACACAGCUUGGGAACCAUGGCCUCAUGAGCACAUGUUGCCAGGCACUGAGCCAUGCCCCAUGGAGCUCAGUCUACUGGGGAAGAUGGAGAGAGAUGACUGAUCAGAGCUGGGAUGGAGUGUUCACCAGGUGCGUAGAACACAAAGCAGGCUCUGUCUUGGGGCAGGGGGCAGAGGGGCAUGUAGGUUUAUGAGCAGCAAGGACAGAACCAGUCAUACCAAGCAAAGCCAGAAGAGAACAGACCAUCUGCCUGGAAAAAUGUGACACAGCCCUGCCAAGGCUGUACUUGUAUUUCACGACCAAACUACCCGUGCCCUGCUGAUUCAUUCACAUUGUCUCACCUUCUCAGACGGCUACAAUUACACACUCAUUAAAUUCAAACUUGCAUGAUAUGCAUAGUCUGCAAGAGAUACAAUUCCUUUAAUACGAUGGUGAUGGAAUUCAUACUUGACUCCAUAUGAUAUUUAAAAAUAGAAAUUCAAUGCCUUAGCAACUU
RNAcentral lists this long non-coding RNA (1194 nucleotides) under Homo sapiens (human). RNAcentral describes it as "HSALNT0049344". Lineage: Eukaryota; Metazoa; Chordata; Mammalia; Primates; Hominidae. The record is from RNAcentral.